CGCGUAGGCGGGAAUACAAGUCUGUUUUUAAAGUUCGGGGCUCAACCCCGUGAUGGAAUGGAAACUGUAUUUCUUGAGGGCAGGAGAGGAAAGUGGAAUUCCUAGUGUAGCGGUGAAAUGCGUAGAUAUUAGGAGGAACACCAGUGGCGAAGGCGGCUUUCUGGACUGCAACUGACGCUGAGGCGCGAAAGCGUGGGGAGCAAACA
Molecule: ribosomal RNA, 206 nt
Filed under: uncultured bacterium
Lineage: Bacteria
Description: partial 16S ribosomal RNA
Rfam family: Bacterial small subunit ribosomal RNA
Source: RNAcentral